Molecule: RNA transcript, 848 nt
Organism: Fragaria vesca subsp. vesca
Lineage: Eukaryota; Viridiplantae; Streptophyta; Magnoliopsida; Rosales; Rosaceae
Exons: 5
Source: RefSeq, a predicted model, not a curated record
UCCUCUUCUCUCCGCCGCAUUCUCUCUUUUUCUCUCUCUCUUCUCUCGACCUCACCUCCGUCACCGGCGUUCUCCGCACGACGCUGCCGUCUCCGGCCACUCCUGCCAGCUAGUGAGACCACCAAUUUCUUUCGCUUCUCAUUCUCUACCAAACCCCCAAAGAAAAUCACUCAAGCAAAUCAGAUAGGAGGAGAUCGAAGGAAGAGGACCCGACGACCCCUUCUGCAUUUUCCGGCGACUCCAGCCGUUGUUCGGUCUACAUGUGCGACGAGACUAGUUUCCUCAGGCCGUCUCUUCUCUUGCUUUCCGAUGAACUCGGGAGGAAGUGAGGAGUAGGAGGGCUUCACCUGUUCAAUAUCGGUUCUCCAGAGUUGGAGUUCAAAGUUUGAUAGAAGUUUGGGAGAAUGAGAGAAGAAGGGCAGAAGGAAAGAGGAAUUGUGAAAGUGGCCUUGAUACGCUGUUGGGUGCAGAGAUCAAUUCCGGCGACGAAGUCGAGUUUCAAAGGUGUUGAAUGAGAAUUAUUGGUGUUGGAAUUUCAGAAAGGGCAGAAGAAACCAUAUUUUGAAAAUAAAGAUUUGGAAUUUGAGUUACUGUUGGUGAAGGAAGUAGACAAACAAGUGUAGCAGCAUUGAUUCAUUUUUGGCUGGAAAAGAAGAUGGGUAGCAGGGAUCAGAUUGGAGGAUGUACAUGAUAUGAUAUCUUGUUGUAGCUUUGGGAACUCACUGGGCUUAUGGUAAAGGAGAAAUAAAAAUGUAGUAGUUAUAUGUAGAUUAGGAGCAAUAUCACCAAUAUGUAUUGUUAUUAUAUACAUUUCAAAUGAUUUAGUAAUUGAAGUGAAUUAUUGACAU